Molecule: ribosomal RNA, 749 nt
Filed under: Rhodococcoides fascians
Lineage: Bacteria; Bacillati; Actinomycetota; Actinomycetes; Mycobacteriales; Nocardiaceae
Description: bacterial SSU rRNA
Rfam family: Bacterial small subunit ribosomal RNA
Source: RNAcentral
UUAACACAUGCAAGUCGAGCGGUAAGGCCUUUCGGGGUACACGAGCGGCGAACGGGUGAGUAACACGUGGGUGAUCUGCCCUGCACUCUGGGAUAAGCCUGGGAAACUGGGUCUAAUACCGGAUAUGACUCCAGCAUGCAUGUGCUGGGGUGGAAAGCUUUUGUGGUGCAGGAUGGGCCCGCGGCCUAUCAGCUUGUUGGUGGGGUAAUGGCCUACCAAGGCGACGACGGGUAGCCGACCUGAGAGGGUGACCGGCCACACUGGGACUGAGACACGGCCCAGACUCCUACGGGAGGCAGCAGUGGGGAAUAUUGCACAAUGGGCGGAAGCCUGAUGCAGCGACGCCGCGUGAGGGAUGAAGGCCUUCGGGUUGUAAACCUCUUUCAGCAGGGACGAAGCGUGAGUGACGGUACCUGCAGAAGAAGCACCGGCUAACUACGUGCCAGCAGCCGCGGUAAUACGUAGGGUGCGAGCGUUGUCCGGAAUUACUGGGCGUAAAGAGUUCGUAGGCGGUUUGUCGCGUCGUUUGUGAAAACCCGGGGCUCAACUUCGGGCUUGCAGGCGAUACGGGCAGACUUGAGUGUUUCAGGGGAGACUGGAAUUCCUGGUGUAGCGGUGAAAUGCGCAGAUAUCAGGAGGAACACCGGUGGCGAAGGCGGGUCUCUGGGAAACAACUGACGCUGAGGAACGAAAGCGUGGGUAGCAAACAGGAUUAGAUACCCUGGUAGUCCACGCCGUAAACGGUGGGC